RNAcentral lists this ribosomal RNA (250 nucleotides) under uncultured bacterium. Its description in RNAcentral is "partial 16S ribosomal RNA". It matches the Rfam family "Bacterial small subunit ribosomal RNA", at positions 524 to 773 of the family's 1533-position model. The record is from RNAcentral.
CACGGGGGGAGCAAGCGUUGUUCGGAAUCACUGGGCGUAAAGGGCGUGUAGGCGGUCAGGUAAGUGGAAUGUGAAAUGCUCCGGCUCACCCGGAGUACUGCAUCCCAAACUGCCUGGCUUGAGUAUGGGAGAGGUGAGUGGAAUUCCCGGUGCAGCGGUGAAAUGCGUAGAUAUCGGGAGGAACACCUGUGGCGAAAGCGGCUCACUGGGCCACAACUGACGCUGAGGCGCGAAAGCUAGGGGAGCAAAC